Molecule: ribosomal RNA, 253 nt
Filed under: uncultured bacterium
Lineage: Bacteria
Description: partial 16S ribosomal RNA
Rfam family: Bacterial small subunit ribosomal RNA
Source: RNAcentral
UACGGGGGGGGCAAGCGUUGUUCGGAAUUACUGGGCGUAAAGGGCUCGUAGGUGGCCAACUAAGUCAGACGUGAAAUCCCUCAGCUUAACUGGGGAACUGCGUCUGAUACUGGAUGGCUUGAGUUUGGGAGAGGGAUGCGGAAUUCCAGGUGUGGCGGUGAAAUGCGUAGAUAUCUGGAGGAACACCGGUGGCGAAGGCGGCAUCCUGGACCAACACUGACACUGAUGAGCGAAAGCCAGGGGAGCAAACGGG